Molecule: non-coding RNA, 611 nt
Organism: Cricetulus griseus (Chinese hamster)
Lineage: Eukaryota; Metazoa; Chordata; Mammalia; Rodentia; Cricetidae
Source: RefSeq, a predicted model, not a curated record
GUGGCCAUGGCCCAUCGUGUUUAGACCUUAGUGUCUGGGCUAGGCAGCGGGCAUGCCAGUGAUUCCUGCUUCUCUUUCUCCACCUGCUGUUUUUAGGCCAUGCGCUUUCCUCCCAAAUCCUACAACAAGGACCUGGAGUCUGCAGAGGAACGGCGUGAGCGAGAGCAGCAGGACUUGGAAUUUGCCAAGGAGAUGGCAGAAGAUGAUGAUGACAGCUUCCCUUGAGCCAGGGCCUGGGGAGGGGUGGGCUGAGUGGAGACUGGCUUUUGUCUUUUCCCUCAGGGGUCCCUGCGUCCCUGCCCGGGAACCUGGCCUCCUUUCCCACACACAGCUCACAGACUGCGUAUGUGCAGGGGUCAGGGAUGCUGGGAGCUAACUAUCCCCCCUCUUGCUACUAUGUCUCUGUAGCUGGUGACAAUACACUGUGGGCAGAGAAUGGGCGGCAGGUCUCCUGGAGGCAGGGUCUUGCCUAAUGGUGGUGUAGGCAGCAGGAGGGGACAGACAGAACCGUGGAUUAGGGUGUGGAUUAGGGCCUGGAGUUGGGACAUGUUGGGUUGUAUGUUUUUGAAGCUUCAAUUAUGAUUUUUAAACAAUAAAAAGUUCUCCAAAGC